This 4131-nucleotide long non-coding RNA is filed under the name Sus scrofa (pig). RNAcentral describes it as "lncRNA (ENSSSCG00000054699.1)". Lineage: Eukaryota; Metazoa; Chordata; Mammalia; Artiodactyla; Suidae. The record is from RNAcentral.
CUUGCUGGAAGACAGGCAGGUCCCGGCAGUCACCAGCAGAGAUUUUUCCUGAGGGAAACCCCUCGGCUGCAGGCCAUUCUCAGGGCUGAGGGAGGCGGGGUUGGAGGUGUGCAGCCACCAGGAUGAUUUUGGAAAGUUUUCUGGGGCUCAAGACACCUGACGACAAUUCUUGGUGGCAGGAGCACCUGGAGUGGGACUCAGAUCCCCGACGUCCCAUCCGGAAGGAGCCCUUCACACACCUGUCCCGUUCCCGAGCCUGAGGACCCAGGUAUCUCCAGGUGAGGAUGCAGAGCUGGCCUUGGCCGCUCUCCAGCCAGGCCGCUUCUGACACCGGUGGUGUUUUCCCGGCGGUGCGGAUGGACAGCCCUUGCUCUCUGGUGGGCAAGGUCAGAUGGUCCUGAAGUGCAGACAGCUUUCUGUCGCCUCCCCCGACCCCCACCCCCGCCCCUGGGAGUGGCCCCGGCAGAAAGCACAGGUGCCUUAGGGUCCCCUAAGCGUGGAUUCAGUUCCCAGCUUGGCUCUCAUCACAAGUCAGUUAGCUUUUCUAAGCCCUAUUCCUCAUCUGAAAAGAAAAAGGAAAAAGAAAAAAAAGAGGGUGUGAAUACCCUUCCCCGGCUCCUGUGAGGACCUGCUGGGAAAAGAUGUCUGAACCACAGGUCUAGAUGGAGCGAGGGUUCAGUCCUGAAUCUCACCUCCCAGGCCUUUGAAAGGUGCCCCCCUCCACCAGCCUUCCUUAUUUUUCUCCUCCUUGAGUGUAGCUGCUUUGGGGCCUGCAAACUCUUCUGUCUCCCUUUGAAGCAAUCUUGCCGAGUCUAACAGUCUGAUGCCCUUUAUGGAAUAUUCCUACCUGCCCAGCCCAGGUAGAGUCGUGGCUCCCAUCUUUGCGGCCCAGGGACCUGGCAUUUUCUGUCCUGCUAAUAUUCUUAGGCUUCUUCUUCUUCUUCUUUUUUUGGCUGUUCUAAGGGCAUGUGGAAAUUCCUGGACCAGGGAUCGAACCGUGUCUCAGCAGUGACCAUGCUGGAUUUUCAACCCACCAGGAAACUCUCAGUGUAGGCAUUAACUACGAAGCAGCUCAAUGGGACUAAAAAAAUUCGUUAGCACACGAAAUAGAUAUUUGGAUCUUCUGAUGCUCAUGAGUGUAGUUCAGCAUCUUAAGGUAUUGUUACCAGAAGAAUUCUUGUAAAUGGCCACCCUUCGCCACCCGUCUUUAUGGGACCACUCACAGCAUUGCCGCUGUGGGGAUGCACCAACCUUCCAUGUCUGUAGGAAUCACAGGCACUGGGUCUCUGACAUCAGGGGCCAUUGUUGCAGCUUAGCAGAACACACCCUCAUAUGCACCGGUCAUUAAAAGGUCAUUUCCUGUCUCUUGUUUUUCCUGAUAUCACUGCGAUGUGAUUUGUGACAACAAAACAAGCUUUUUUUCUGCUAGCUCGGAAUUUAGAUAAAACCCCAGAGUUGAGGACAAAAGGUGACCUCGCAUUCUAAAGAGAAGUGCAAGCUCCAUCCAUGGAAGGCAGGGAGACCUGUGCAGUGACCUAGUGAUUGAUGGGGCGGGGCUUUGGCGCUGGGAGGUCAAGGGAGGUGGGCUCAGAGAUAACACUCCAUGGAGACUGGUGGGGGGGGGAAAGAGUGUGUGAGAAAAAGAGAGAGGACCUGGUCCCGCUCUCCACCUGGACGGAUGCUUGUGAAGCUCCAGAUGGAAGCUGCCAGACGGGGAGCCCCAGAGACCCUGACGCAUGUCCCAGGAUGCAGGGACAACGUCGGGCAAAGGCAGACACAGUUAGAAGGGGGAGGACAGGCUGAAGCGGUGAGGAGCGGGGAAGGUGUUGGGCAAACUGCACAAGGACAGCAAGGACAGGCGGGUUCACUGCGGGGCCUUAGCAGGAUUUCAGGGGCCACUCAAGAGAGCCACCUGGUAGGCUUGCGGAACCCGGGAGAAAGCGGCUGCCGGACUGUCCCGGACAGGAGCUGCAGGACACAACCGGUUGCAGGAACAUCUGCGAGCAUCUCUACAGGACCAGUUCAAGGGUCAGUGUUUGGAUGCCUGGGAGGCAGCGACACACCUGCGGCAUCAGUUAAGUAUGCAGACAUGGGCCCUUCUGUCCGUCUUCCUUCCUCUUGGCUGCUGACUCUGGAGGGUCCAGAAGCAGCCGAGAGAGUGAGGGGGCUUAGCCUGGACAGGAUAAGAACUCACUGGUUCCAUUUUCUUACUGGUGGUUCCCAGGUCGGGGGUUGGCCGGGGGUGCUGGUUCUGGCUGAUUGGCUUGGUGUGGGGUGGGAGGUUAAAUACUCCUCUGGGACCGUAAUUAUUCCUGAAAGUGACGUUAAAGCUCGAGGUUCUAUCUGAGGUAUCACUCAGGGGUGGAGAAGGCAGAGAUGACAGACUGUGUCUGAGGCAGGCUAUUUUGUAAUUUCACCUUACCGAAUUUAGCCGCUCAGUGGAGUAAUUACCCCAAAAGAGGGUGAUCAGAAAAGCAUCCUCCCAGAGUGAUUCUGCUGUGUGCUUCCAGUUUUAGACUCUGAGAUAUUCAAUCUUUAGGGUAUUGUUGUUCUAGCUUGCAUCAUUUUGCAAAGCAUGUUUUUUUUGUUUAUUUGUUUUUUGUUUUUGGUCUUUUUAGAGCCACACUUGCAGCCUACGGAAAUUCCCAGGCUAGGGGUUGAAUCCAAGCUGCAGCUGCUGGCCUCCGCCACAGCCUCAGCAACACCAGAUCGGAGCCACAUUUGCAACCUACACCACAGGUCAUGGCAAGGCCAGAUCCUUAACCCACUGAGCGAGGCCAGGAAUCAAACCUGCAUCCUCCGGGAUACUAGUUGGGUUCAUUACCUCUGAGUCACAAUGGGAACUCCACAAAGUAUGUAUUUUUCACAUCUUUCUGAACCAUGGCUUGGGUGCUCAUGGCUGCUGUGGGCUGCAUGAGGCACUGGGAAUGCCACUCGGAAGAGGAAAGCAGCAUUUCCCAUGCCAGUGAGCUCAGGCCAGUGUGAGAGAUGUACAAUCCAGUGGUGGUGGGAGCCCCCGGAUGCCUCUAGGGGCAGAACGCUUUUGAGUCACAGAAGAAUUUGGGAUCCUGAAGCAAGGGGUUGGGCGGGGGGGUGGGGGCCCUCCCUGGGAGAGUAGAUUCCUGAGCUGAUUCCUCUUCAACAAGGAGGAAUAUCAAGGAAAAGAGCAGAGCACAUGCCUAGACCAGAGGGGCAAAGGCCAAGAAGGUUUUGGAGAAUGUGCCUUCUGGCUGGAAGGGGAAGUGUGAGGGGAAAGCAAUGAGAGGGAGCAGGAAGGAUGGACUGUGGCAGACGCCCUGCCUUCCUUUAAAUCUUGCGCAAUAUUCCCUUCCUGUGAAGGCAGGUUAGCCCCUUCUACUAUAGGCAGAAAUACAAAGGUGCUCGGUGUGGUCAGAAAGAACACACUGGCAACAGCUUGGAGAACAAAGGGUGUGGGCUGGGGAGGGGGACAGGGAUGCUGAUUCUAGACGUGGGGAAAUAAGACGGGCUGCAAGUGCAUGAAUCCGGAACUGAGAGUGGGUCUGAGCCAAGGAGCUGGUCAUGGGCAUGAAACAGGGGUGGUUCAGAAGCGGCCAUCACUCAUCAUCCCAUUCGCAGAGGGGGAAGGGGCUUGCAGAGACAGUAGGGAAACUCACCUGUGGUUCUCAAAUUAAAUUAGAUUAUUUCAUGCUUAUUCCUGUGGUCUUUGGAGAGGAGGAGGUGGAGAGGAGGAGUGGAGAGAAGGGACUGAAGAGUCAGAAAAGAAUAGACCUGAAAGGAAAACUAAAAUAAAAUUUGGAGUUCCCGCUGUGGCACAACGGAUCAGCAGCAUCUCUGCAGCAUCAAAGACACAGGUUCAACUUCUGGCCUGACACAGUGGGUUAAAGGAUCCAGGGUUCACACAACUGUGGCUCCAAUCUGAUCCCUGGCCUGGGAACUCCAUAUGCGGGGUGGCCAAAAAAAAAAGCUGGGGAGUUCCCAUUGUGGUCAACAGGUAAGAACCUGAUGUAGUCUCCAUGAGGCUGUAGGUUUGAUCCCUGGCCUCGCUUGGUGGGUUAAGGAUCCGGUGUUGCCAUGGCUGUGGCGCAGGACUGCAGCUGCAGCUCUGAUUUGACCCCUAGCCUGGGAACUUCCGUAUGCUGCAGGUGCAGC